Molecule: long non-coding RNA, 328 nt
Filed under: Phoenix dactylifera (date palm)
Lineage: Eukaryota; Viridiplantae; Streptophyta; Magnoliopsida; Arecales; Arecaceae
Description: long non-coding RNA (PDAC_LNC021480)
Source: RNAcentral
UCAAUUUGUUCUUGAGUAGGAUUCAGCUAAUCUCCGAAUAUCCCUUGAAUAGAUUCUGGAGAUUACUCCAUUAGGAGCCCCAAAAGAGAGAUAAUGAGCCUCGAGGUACCGAAUCCACUUAGAACAAAUUUGUGUGUUUUAAGAGUUUAUCUUUUUAUUGAUUUCCAUUGAUUCCUUUUACAUAUUUUAUACAUAUUUUUUCUUUUACAUAUUUUAUACAUAUUUCUCCCCCUUUUACAUAUUUUAUACAUAUUUCUCCCCCUUUUACAUAUUUUAUACAUAUUUCUCUCCCUUUUUGUCAUCAUAUCAAAAAGGAGGUAAACAGAAC